Molecule: ribosomal RNA, 274 nt
Filed under: uncultured bacterium
Lineage: Bacteria
Description: partial 16S ribosomal RNA
Rfam family: Bacterial small subunit ribosomal RNA
Source: RNAcentral
AUACGGAGGCUGCAAGCGUUAAUCGGAAUUACUGGGCGUAAAGCGCGCGUAGGCGGCUGAUUAAGUCGGAUGUGAAAUCCCUGGGCUCAACCUAGGAACUGCAUCCGAUACUGGUCAGCUAGAGUUUUGGAGAGGUAAGUGGAAUUUCCGGUGUAGCGGUGAAAUGCAUAGAGAUCGGAAGGAACACCAGUGGCGAAGGCGACUUACUGGCCAAAAACUGACGCUGAGGUGCGAAAGCGUGGGUAGCGAACAGGAUUAGAAACCCUAGUAGUCC